Molecule: ribosomal RNA, 541 nt
Filed under: uncultured Verrucomicrobiota bacterium
Lineage: Bacteria; Pseudomonadati; Verrucomicrobiota
Description: bacterial SSU rRNA
Rfam family: Bacterial small subunit ribosomal RNA
Source: RNAcentral
AGAGUUUGAUCAUGGCUCAGAACGAACGCUGGCGGCGUGGAUAAGACAUGCAAGUCGAGCGAUCGUUAACGGGUAGCAAUAUUCGUUAGCGGGAGCGGCGCAAGGGUGCGUAACACGUGGGUAAUCUGCCGUGAAGUUUGGGAUAAUCCCGCGAAAGCGGGACUAAUACCGGAUGUGACCAUUGGGAGGCAUCUUCUGAUGGUUAAAGUUGGGGACCGCAAGGCCUGACGCUUCAUGAUGAACCCGCGGCCUAUCAGCUAGUUGGUGAGGUAACGGCUCACCAAGGCUAAGACGGGUAGCUGGUCUGAGAGGACGACCAGCCACACUGGAACUGAGACACGGUCCAGACACCUACGGGUGGCAGCAGUCGAGAAUUUUUCACAAUGGGCGCAAGCCUGAUGGAGCGACGCCGCGUGGGGGAUGAAUGGCUUCGGCCCGUAAACCCCUGUCAUUUGCGAUCAAACCUUAUUAUUUAAAAGAUGAUAAGUUGAUAGUAGCGAAAGAGGAAGGGACGGCUAACUCUGUGCCAGCAGCCGCGGUA